RNAcentral lists this unclassified non-coding RNA (331 nucleotides) under Hevea brasiliensis (rubber tree). The record is from RNAcentral. Lineage: Eukaryota; Viridiplantae; Streptophyta; Magnoliopsida; Malpighiales; Euphorbiaceae.
GAUUAUUAUGUAAUUUAAUGGAAACGCACAUUCUUCAUCACUGGAUAUCUUGUCUAAACUCUCUGCAUUUUUCACCUCUUGAUGUUAUUCCUUCUUUUUUUAACUCGUUGUCUGAUGUACAUAUUUCUGGAGAGCUAUAGGCGUUCAAUUAGAGGAAAAAACUCCUUUUUUGAAUCUGAUAAUAGGGAAUGAUGGUGCAAGUUUGAGGAGAAGUAUUCACUUUAUAUUUGCAUUGAACUCUAUGCGACCACUGAGCAGUCAAUUACAUAUUUCUGGAGAGCUAUAGGCGUUCAAUUAGAGGAAAAAACUCCUUUUUUGAAUCUGAUAAUAG